Molecule: ribosomal RNA, 387 nt
Filed under: uncultured bacterium
Lineage: Bacteria
Description: bacterial SSU rRNA
Rfam family: Bacterial small subunit ribosomal RNA
Source: RNAcentral
GGCGAACGGGUGAGUAACACGUGGGAACCUUCCCUAUAGUACGGAAUAGCCCAGGGAAACUUGGAGUAAUACCGUAUACGCCCGAGAGGGGAAAGAUUUAUCGCUAUAGGAUGGGCCCGCGUUGGAUUAGCUAGUUGGUGAGGUAAUGGCUCACCAAGGCGACGAUCCAUAGCUGGUCUGAGAGGACGACCAGCCACACUGGGACUGAGACACGGCCCAGACUCCUACGGGAGGCAGCAGUGGGGAAUAUUGGACAAUGGGCGCAAGCCUGAUCCAGCCAUGCCGCGUGAGUGAUGAAGGCCUUAGGGUUGUAAAGCUCUUUUGGCGGGACGAUAAUGACGGUACCCGCAGAAUAAGUCCCGGCUAACUUCGUGCCAGCAGCCGCGG